RNAcentral lists this ribosomal RNA (427 nucleotides) under uncultured prokaryote. RNAcentral's name for it is "bacterial SSU rRNA". It matches the Rfam family "Bacterial small subunit ribosomal RNA", at positions 355 to 774 of the family's 1533-position model. The record is from RNAcentral.
UAGGGAAUAUUGCGCAAUGGGCGAAAGCCUGACGCAGCAACGCCGCGUGGGUGAUGAAGCUUCUUGGAGUGUAAAACCCUGUCAGUGGGGAAGAAACGUAUCGGGAGUCACUGCCCGGUACCUGACGGUACCCACAGAGGAAGUCCCGGCUAACUCCGUGCCAGCAGCCGCGGUAAUACGGGGGGGACAAGCGUUGUUCGGAUUCACUGGGCGUAAAGGGCGCGUAGGCGGGCCUUCAAGUCCGGUGUGAAAACUGGCAGCUCAACGGCCUGCGUGCUCUUGAGACUGUCGGUCUUGAGUACAGUAGGGGAAAGUGGAAUUCCAGGUGUAGCGGUGAAAUGCGUAGAUAUCUGGAAGAACACCGGUAGCGAAGGCGACUUGCUGGCCUGAUACUGACGCUGAAGCGCGAAGGCUAGGGUAGCAAACA